AGAAAAAAAAAUCCCAAAUAAUAAUUUUCUGAGACUGUUAAGCCUAAGCCCAAGCCCAAGCCCAACAGUAUUUUCCGUGGGCCAGAUGUGGGAUCAAGCCCAUAUUUUCUGCCACGAAAGUUCCCCCCGACUUGAAAAGUCGCGAUUGCAACUCGCGCCAAAACCAACACCGGAGCGACGCCGAUUACAGCCGGACGGACGACGGAGUUCAAUAUAUGCGUUCUUUAAUUGGCUUGUUGACUGUAAAGAACAAAUUUAAGCUGAGCCAUCCUCUGAAAGGAUCAUACGGUAGUCUGGCUCUGGCCUCGUCAAAAUAAUGGCAAGGAGGGAAGAAUGAUUCUGAGGGAGGGUCUGUGGUUACCAAAGAGAAAUCACGCCCAAUUGUAGCAUUCAGUGCAGCCCUUGGAGAAGGGAAUCUCUAUGUCCUUCCAUGCUGCCGAUUGAUAGAUUAGAUUUGUCAAUCUAUUAGACUGAUAGAAUAUGAAGUUGAGG
Non-coding RNA from Momordica charantia (bitter melon), 492 nucleotides. Lineage: Eukaryota; Viridiplantae; Streptophyta; Magnoliopsida; Cucurbitales; Cucurbitaceae. The record is from RefSeq and is a predicted model, not a curated record.